CAGUAGCCGCGGUAAUACGAAGGGUGCAAGCGUUACUCGGAAUUACUGGGCGUAAAGCGUGCGUAGGUGGUGGUUUAAGUCCGUUGUGAAAGCCCUGGGCUCAACCUGGGAAUUGCAGUGGAUACUGGGUCACUAGAGUGUGGUAGAGGAUAGUGGAAUUUCCGGUGUAGCAGUGAAAUGCGUAGAUAUGCGGAGGAACACCGGUGGCGAAGGCAAUCCCCUGGACCUGUACUGACGCUCAUGCACGAAAGCGUGGGGAGCAAACAGGAUUAGAUACCCGUGUAGUCCCUGUCUCUUAUAA
RNAcentral lists this ribosomal RNA (301 nucleotides) under uncultured bacterium. RNAcentral's name for it is "partial 16S ribosomal RNA". It matches the Rfam family "Bacterial small subunit ribosomal RNA", at positions 509 to 809 of the family's 1533-position model. The record is from RNAcentral.